UACAGAGGUCUCAAGCGUUGUUCGGAUUCAUUGGGCGUAAAGGGUGCGUAGGCUGUGGGGUAAGUCUGGUGUGAAAUCCCGGGGCUCAACCCCGGAACUGCACUGGAUACUGCUUUACUAGAGCACUGGAGAGGGAACUGGAAUUUACGGUGUAGCAGUGAAAUGCGUAGAGAUCGGGAGGAACAUCAGUUGCGAAGGCGGCCACCUGGACCAGCACUGACACUGAGGCACGAAAGCGUGGGGAGCAAACAGG
RNAcentral lists this ribosomal RNA (253 nucleotides) under uncultured bacterium. RNAcentral describes it as "partial 16S ribosomal RNA". It matches the Rfam family "Bacterial small subunit ribosomal RNA", at positions 524 to 776 of the family's 1533-position model. The record is from RNAcentral.